UGGGUAGCUCAGUGGUAGAGCAUGUGCUUUGCAUGUGUGAGGCCCUGGGUUCCACCCCCAGCAGCAA
Molecule: transfer RNA, 67 nt
Filed under: Marmota monax (woodchuck)
Lineage: Eukaryota; Metazoa; Chordata; Mammalia; Rodentia; Sciuridae
Description: tRNA.Ala
Rfam family: tRNA (bases 4-62)
About the family: Transfer RNA (tRNA) molecules are approximately 80 nucleotides in length.
Source: RNAcentral